RNAcentral lists this ribosomal RNA (253 nucleotides) under uncultured bacterium. RNAcentral describes it as "partial 16S ribosomal RNA". It matches the Rfam family "Bacterial small subunit ribosomal RNA", at positions 524 to 776 of the family's 1533-position model. The record is from RNAcentral.
UACGUAGGGGGCUAGCGUUGUCCGGAAUCAUUGGGCGUAAAGCGCGUGUAGGCGGCCCGGUAAGUCCGCUGUGAAAGUCGGGGGCUCAACCCUCGAAAGCCGGUGGAUACUGUCGGGCUAGAGUACGGAAGAGGUGAGUGGAAUUCCUGGUGUAGCGGUGAAAUGCGCAGAUAUCAGGAGGAACACCCAUUGCGAAGGCAGCUCGCUGGGACGUUACUGACGCUGAGACGCGAAAGCGUGGGGAGCAAACAGG